ACCCGUCGUUCGUUCGUCCUCAGUGCAGGGCAACAGGACUUCGGGCUCAAGAUGGUGACUGCAGCCAUGCUGCUGCAGUGCUGCCCAGUGCUUGCCCGGGGCCCCACAAGCCUCCUAGGCAAGGUGGUUAAGACUCACCAGUUCCUGUUUGGUAUUGGACGCUGUCCCAUCCUGGCUACCCAAGGACCAAACUGUUCUCAAAUCCACCUUAAGGCAACAAAGGCUGGAGGAGAUUCUCCAUCUUGGGCCAAGGGCCACUGUCCCUUCAUGCUGUCGGAACUCCAGGAUGGGAAGAGCAAGAUUGUGCAGAAGGCAGCCCCAGAAGUCCAGGAGGAUGUGAAGGCUUUCAAGACAGGAAACUAUGUCUUCAGUUAUGACCAGUUUUUCAGGGACAAGAUCAUGGAGAAGAAACAGGAUCACACCUACCGUGUGUUCAAGACUGUGAACCGCUGGGCUGAUGCAUAUCCCUUUGCCCAACAUUUCUCUGAGGCAUCUGUAGCCUCAAAGGAUGUGUCCGUCUGGUGUAGUAAUGAUUACCUGGGCAUGAGCCGACACCCUCAGGUCUUGCAAGCCACACAGGAGACCCUGCAGCGUCAUGGUGCUGGAGCUGGUGGCACCCGCAACAUCUCAGGCACCAGUAAGUUUCACGUGGAGCUUG
This 658-nucleotide small RNA is filed under the name Pongo abelii (Sumatran orangutan). RNAcentral describes it as "processed transcript". Lineage: Eukaryota; Metazoa; Chordata; Mammalia; Primates; Hominidae. The record is from RNAcentral.